CCGCCUGUAGCUCAGUUGGCAGAGCGGUGGGACGUUACCCCACGGUCACGGGUUCAAGUCCCGGCGGUCGCU
Molecule: non-coding RNA, 72 nt
Organism: Phthorimaea operculella (potato tuberworm)
Lineage: Eukaryota; Metazoa; Arthropoda; Insecta; Lepidoptera; Gelechiidae
Source: the annotation of a GenBank genome assembly